RNAcentral lists this ribosomal RNA (450 nucleotides) under uncultured Glomeromycotina. RNAcentral's name for it is "SSU rRNA". It matches the Rfam family "Eukaryotic small subunit ribosomal RNA", at positions 569 to 1025 of the family's 1831-position model. Lineage: Eukaryota; Fungi; Glomeromycota. The record is from RNAcentral.
AGCAGCCGCGGUAAUUCCAGCUCCAAUAGCGUAUAUUAAAGUUGUUGCAGUUAAAAAGCUCGUAGUUGAAUUUCGGGAUCGAAUUGUUGGUCGUGCUUCGGUACGCACUGGCAUUAUCGGUUCCUACCUUCUGAAGAAUCGCGAUGUCAUUAAUUUGGUGUCGUGGGGAAUCAGGACUGUUACUUUGAAAAAUUAGAGUGUUUAAAGCAGGCUUACGCUUGAAUAUAUUAGCAUGGAAUAAUGAAAUAGGACGUUCGAUCCUAUUUUGUUGGUUUCUAGGAUUGACGUAAUGAUUAAUAGGGAUAGUUGGGGGCAUUAGUAUUCAAUUGUCAGAGGUGAAAUUCUUGGAUUUAUUGAAGACUAACUACUGCGAAAGCAUUUGCCAAGGAUGUUUUCAUUAAUCAAGAACGAAAGUUAGGGGAUCGAAGACGAUCAGAUACCGUCGUAGUC